UACAGGGGGGGCAAGCGUUGUUCGGAAUUACUGGGCGUAAAGAGCUCGUAGGCGGCUUGUCACGUCGGGUGUGAAAGCCCGGGGCUUAACCCCGGGUCUGCACUCGAUACGGGCUGGCUAGAGUGUGGUAGGGGAGAUCGGAAUUCCUGGUGUAGCGGUGAAAUGCGCAGAUAUCAGGAGGAACACCGGUGGCGAAGGCGGAUCUCUGGGCCAUUACUGACGCUGAGGAGCGAAAGCGUGGGGAGCGAACAGG
This 253-nucleotide ribosomal RNA is filed under the name uncultured bacterium. RNAcentral's name for it is "partial 16S ribosomal RNA". It matches the Rfam family "Bacterial small subunit ribosomal RNA", at positions 524 to 776 of the family's 1533-position model. The record is from RNAcentral.